AAUCAUGAUGCUACAACCCGAUUGGGGGAUGGCUCGGCUCGAGAGCCGAAGAAGGUCGUGACAAGCUGCGAUAAGUCGCGGGGAGAGGCAUGAAUCUCUUGGAUCCGCGAAUUGCCGAAUUGGACCUCCUGACAACAGUCAUUCCUCGUUUGAGGAAGGGGAACCCCCCGAACUGAAGCAUCUCAGUAGGGGGAGGAAAAGAAAUCAAUAGAAAUUCCGUGAGUAGUGGCGAAUGAAAACGGAAUAGGACAAACCGAAUCUCCUAGGGAAACCUUGGAGAGAUGUGGAGUAUGGACAUCUGAAGCCUAAGUCCGGGAAGUAGAAGUCGUCCUGGAACGGCGCACCAGAGAGGGUGAAAGUCCCGUAAACGUAACGGAUAUGGCCAUGUGAUGUAUCCUGAGUAGCGUGCGUUGGAUAUCGCGCGUGAAUGUGGGAGGCAGAGACUUCCAAUCCUAAAUACUACUCGAGACCGAUAGUUGACAAGUAGCGUGAGCGAAAGCUGAAAAGUAUCCUUAGCGGGAUGUGAAAAGACCC
RNAcentral lists this ribosomal RNA (534 nucleotides) under Candidatus Thalassarchaeaceae archaeon. RNAcentral describes it as "partial 23S ribosomal RNA". It matches the Rfam family "Archaeal large subunit ribosomal RNA", at positions 1 to 540 of the family's 2987-position model. The record is from RNAcentral. Lineage: Archaea; Methanobacteriati; Thermoplasmatota; Candidatus Poseidoniia; Candidatus Poseidoniales; Candidatus Thalassarchaeaceae.